Molecule: long non-coding RNA, 637 nt
Organism: Hibiscus syriacus
Lineage: Eukaryota; Viridiplantae; Streptophyta; Magnoliopsida; Malvales; Malvaceae
Exons: 3
Source: RefSeq, a predicted model, not a curated record
AGAAGAUUGAUUCUAUGGAUAAUGAUGAGGUUUUUAGUUCACAGAAUCUUUCAUCUACUCUGAGGAAACUGUGUAUGUGGGAGAAGAAGCUCCAUGAUGAAGUCAAGGAUGAGGAAAAGCUGCGUAUAAUUCAUUCAAAGAAGCAUAGCCAGAUGAAAAGCAUGGAUCAGAAGGGCGCUGAUGCUCACCGAGUUGACUCCACACGAACUUCGAUUAGGGCCUUAUCUACUAAAUGAGAGUUGCAGUUCAAGUUAUUGACAACAUAGCAAUUACCAUAAAUAAGCUGAUGGUUGAAGAGUUGUGGCCACACAUCAAUGAGCUGAUUCACAGAUUGUGUGGAAUGUGGAAGGUAAUGCUAGAAUGCCAUAGCUGUCAGUACCAAAAGGUUAUGGAAGCAAAAUGUUUGGAUAUCAUUAGUAUGAAUGAAAAUCUUAACGACACUAAUCUCGAAGUGGCAAUGAAACUAAAGCUUGAGCUUCAAACUGGAUUCUUAGCUUCUCUAGUUGGAUUGAAGCUCAGAGGGGCUAUGUCAAAGCUUUGAAUGGUUGGCUACAUAGAUGUCUCCUAUAUGAACCAGAGGAAAUAACAGCAGACGGUGUUUCAUCCUUCUCUUCUAGUGGAUGCGGAGUACCCCCAG